This 151-nucleotide ribosomal RNA is filed under the name Mycolicibacterium neoaurum. Its description in RNAcentral is "partial 16S rRNA. Bacterial SSU". It matches the Rfam family "Bacterial small subunit ribosomal RNA", at positions 1 to 152 of the family's 1533-position model. The record is from RNAcentral. Lineage: Bacteria; Bacillati; Actinomycetota; Actinomycetes; Mycobacteriales; Mycobacteriaceae.
UUUGUUUGGAGAGUUUGAUCCUGGCUCAGGACGAACGCUGGCGGCGUGCUUAACACAUGCAAGUCGAACGGAAAGGCCCUUCGGGGUACUCGAGUGGCGAACGGGUGAGUAACACGUGGGUGAUCUGCCCUGCACUUUGGGAUAAGCCUGG